CAGCAGCCGCGGGAAUACGAAGGGGGCUAGCGUUGUUCGGAAUUACUGGGCGUAAAGCGCACGCAGGCGGCUCGAUAAAUUAGAAGUGAAAGCCUUGGGCUUAACCUGAAAAUUGCUUUUAAGACUGUCGAGCUAGAAUCCAGAAGAGGGUAGUGGAAUUCCGAGUGUAGAGGUGAAAUUCGUAGAUAUUCGGAAGAACACCAGUGGCGAAGGCGACUACCUGGUCUGGCAUUGACGCUCAUGUGCGAAAGCGUGGGGAGCAAACAGGAUUAGAUACCCGAGUAGUCCCUGUCUCUUAUAC
RNAcentral lists this ribosomal RNA (301 nucleotides) under uncultured bacterium. RNAcentral describes it as "partial 16S ribosomal RNA". It matches the Rfam family "Bacterial small subunit ribosomal RNA", at positions 509 to 807 of the family's 1533-position model. The record is from RNAcentral.